Molecule: unclassified non-coding RNA, 365 nt
Filed under: uncultured bacterium
Lineage: Bacteria
Description: contains 16S-23S intergenic spacer region
Source: RNAcentral
UCCCCGUUACCGGGGCAGUCUCGCAAGAUAUAUCCAACUUGCGACGAGGGUUGCGCUCGUUAAGGGACUUAACCCUACAUCUCACGACACGAGCUGACGACGGCCAUGCAUCACCUGUCUCUCGAUUCCCUUGCGGGCACUCCCGACUUUCAUCGGGAUUCCGAGGAUGUCAAUCCCUGGUAAGGUUCUUCGCGUACCAUCGAAUUAAACCACACGCUCCACCGCUUGUGCGGGUCCCCGUCAAUUCCUUUGAGUUUUAAGCUUGCGCUCGUACUCCCCAGGCGGAAUGCUUAACGCGUUAGCUUCGCUACCGAGAGGGUCGAUACUCCCAGCAGCUAGCAUUCAUCGUUUACGGCGUGGACUAC